CCCUUAGAUGUUCUGGGCCGCACGCGCGCUACACUGAUGCAUUCAACGAGCCUAUCCUUGACCGACAGGUCCGGGUAAUCUUUGAAUCUGCAUCGUGACGGGGAUAGAUUAUUGCAAUUAUUAAUCUUCAACGAGGAAUGCCUAGUAGGCGCAAGUCAUCAGCUUGCGUUGAUUACGUCCCGGCCCUUUGUACACACCGCCCGUCGCUCCUACCGAUUGAAUGGCCCGGUGAAGCGCUCGGACCGCGGCCUCUUGACGGUUCGCUGUCGAUUGGCUGUGGGAAGUUCGUUAAACCUUACCAUUUAGAGGAAGGAGAAGUCGUAACA
This 326-nucleotide ribosomal RNA is filed under the name uncultured eukaryote. Its description in RNAcentral is "partial 18S ribosomal RNA". It matches the Rfam family "Eukaryotic small subunit ribosomal RNA", at positions 1470 to 1796 of the family's 1831-position model. The record is from RNAcentral.